This is a long non-coding RNA of Haliotis rubra (blacklip abalone), 96 nucleotides long. RefSeq lists it as uncharacterized. NCBI's taxonomy places the organism in Eukaryota, Metazoa, Mollusca, Gastropoda, Lepetellida, Haliotidae. The transcript has 3 exons. The record is from RefSeq and is a predicted model, not a curated record.
ACCAUCUAAUGACACACAGACAGACAGACAGACAGACAGAUUUAUUUUCAGUAUACAAGGCCAUGACCCACAUUACAGAAUGUUUUUACAUUUGGU